Molecule: non-coding RNA, 24 nt
Filed under: Rattus norvegicus (Norway rat)
Lineage: Eukaryota; Metazoa; Chordata; Mammalia; Rodentia; Muridae
Source: RNAcentral
UGUGGCUCUGGUACCAGCCAUGAC